Molecule: long non-coding RNA, 1983 nt
Organism: Tupaia belangeri chinensis (Chinese tree shrew)
Lineage: Eukaryota; Metazoa; Chordata; Mammalia; Scandentia; Tupaiidae
Exons: 5
Source: RefSeq, a predicted model, not a curated record
CCGUGGGCCCGCGGACACGCCACCUGCGCAGGGACUGGUCUAGCCCGGAGUGCUUCCAGACGACCGGGGUGCGGAGCCCCGGUGGCCGGCGAGCCGAGGGCCUGCUCUGAGCCCGCAGCGGGCAGCGCCGCACCUGCCGCACCUGUGGCCCUGCGAGGGCGACGCCCGGGUCCGCCGGGGCCCGCCCUCCACGCGGGACGGCGCCCCGACCUGGUGUCCCGCACGGUCCGCACCGAAGAGCGCACGGGUUGCCUGCUUGCCUGUCUGCGCCCAAGUAAUGGAACAAACGUCAGGUUUACCUUUCACUAAAGAUGGAGAUUGUACUCCACGAGAGAGAGACAUAGACAAGUUCCUCAGCAGAGUCUUCACACAGUGUAGCUGGCAUGUCAAGGUCGACCCAGGACGUGGACCCAGAGCCCCUACACGGGCUGCAGCACCCCAGUUACCUGAGCCGCCGUGCCUGGACCGAACGUUGUCUUCUAAAGGCUCUUUUAGCAUUGUUUAAAGAUCAAAGCAUUACGAGCAGCACAACAUAUGUGGGAAGUUCAUUUCUUCUUCUGUCAAGACAUGAAGCUGAGUAAGGUGCAAAAAUAUGUCAUCUCCCAUGCGAGCGGAAGUCAUCGGAUAUCUGUUGUAGAAGAGCUAAGAGGUGGAAAGGGAUUUGUAUUUGCAGACUUGGCUUUGUGACACCCGUACUACCAGAGAGUCUAGGAGCGCCAAGGGCGGGACGUCUGUCCUCAGCUUGAUGGACAGCCUUGGCCCAGUAACUGCCGCAUCAGGACCAAGUAAGGAAGCCCCCGUCUGCCGCCAACCUGCCGCACAGACAGCCCUCCUGGCUAACUGUCCUUCUGACCCAAAGUUCAAGGGAAGAGUACAGACGUUCUGCAGAGAGCAUCUGUGGACAAGGGGAGCGUAAGGCCAUGACUCCGAGAGUGGGGCCUGAGGACCCUCCAGGCCGACUCAGGGCUGGGAGGGCGAGAGCAGAGUGCGCCCACAGUGGGGCAGGCCGCCUUGAGCUCGAGCCUUCGCCAGGCUCGGGCAGCAAAGAGCAGGCCCCGUCCAGAGGCGUGUGUGUGGGUGCACUGACACCGAUGUGGGCACACAGACCUACUGCACUGAACGUUCACCGGACGUACUUGAAGCUAACAGAAAAGAAAGCGCCGUGUUUGGGCUUUGUCAGCAGACCUGGAGGAAGUGCUUCAUGGAGCCCCUCUAGCCCCCCCAGACGGGAAGGGACUGUUGAUUGUGCCAGGUGUUACACAGGCGUCGAGUGAGCACAAGACUCCUGGGCGCAGUGACAUUCAGCCAUCCUGGAUCCUGCCUCCGACCACGGCCCGCUCAGGAGUCCUACCUCAGGAGCAAGCUCUGGUUCCCGAGUUCCUGGCCCUUCUCUGUUUUAAUUUUCCGAACAGUGACACAGUGGAGAUCUGAUUUGGUGAGCGGACUCCUUAGAGAGCUCUGUCUGCUGUUUAUUAGCUUGUGAUGAAAAACAACUCUGCAGAAACACAAAGUGUGUUCCACUCCGAUGUCUGAGAUAGAGUCUAGGUUCAUAGAAACUCAUUUAAAAAAAGAUAUUUCAAAAAGGCAGUAGCAACUCAAGCUGGUCUUGACAGAGAAUUAGGGUUGCUUUAGCAGGUGCACUGAAGUUUUGUUUUUUUCCUUUUUUUAUCACAAGUUAGGCAGCCCAAAUGUAAUUUUUAAUAUGCCAGUGCACUGUGCGGUGCUCCCGUCAAUCAUAACAGGGUACUGUCACAGUAAAGAAAGGGCGAGGGAUUGAACGGAGCGGAAUUUAUUAAAGUACGUGGACGCAGACGCCAGUGCUGCAUGCAGAGCUCAAGUCUGUAAAACGCUCUCACGUCUAUCAGAUAAGACAAGGCAUUUACUUUCUGCUUCCCAAAUGUUUAAAAAUACAUACAAUUUAUUGGACAAAAUCAUACUGCUUUUUCAACUGCUUUUAUUAUUUUUAUUUCUGUAGUUUUUGCU